This 2736-nucleotide long non-coding RNA is filed under the name Lactuca sativa (garden lettuce). Its description in RNAcentral is "long non-coding RNA (LSAT_LNC007296)". Lineage: Eukaryota; Viridiplantae; Streptophyta; Magnoliopsida; Asterales; Asteraceae. The record is from RNAcentral.
UCAUAACCAAACCCUAAUAUCUUCAGCCUCCACCCCUCUAAACACUAGAAAUCAUCAUAUAGCAACCAUGGUGGCAUUUUGGAGCUUAUGGAGUCCAUUCUUGAGAUAUUUGGCCCAUUUUCAAGAAGAUGGAACUUGUUGCAAGGAAGGGAAUUAAGGAGGAGCUUAUGGAUCUGGCUUUUAGGACUCAUUUUCAGCUUGAUGAAGGUAUAAAGCUUUGAACUUGAUCAUUCAUCUCUUAGAUCUACCAUUUUUGGGUUUUGGUUUCUUUUUGGUCCCAAGGUUGAAGCUUUAUGGUUCCAAAUCCAUUUUUUAGGCUUGGGGUUGCCACCCUUGAUGCUAUUUGAGUCCCUAAGGCAGAAAGUUGCCAUCUUGAUGGUCUUAAUGGGUUCAUGCUUGAGUUAGGGUCACCUUUAUGGAAGUAGAAUGCCAUUUUUGGAGUUUGGGUUUGUUUGGGGCAUGCAAAGUCACCAAGUCAGUGACUUUAUGGGUUUAGACGUUAAGUAUAGCUUAGAUCUAUGAUUUGGACUUAUUGGAUCAAGUAUUAAGCACUUAAUGGAUUUUGUGCAUGAGCUGUUUGUACGUUGGGCGUACUAUGUAGUACGCGGCACGUACAAUCCAUUUGCUCAGUACGCUAAAUGUACAGAAGAGGUACGUUGGGCGUACGCUCUCAGGAGGACUUGGGCCUUUGUGGACUUCGGACGUUUAGGCCCUAAUGGUUUUGGGCCUGGAUUUACUGAUAGUUGGGCCUGAAUGCAUCUUUAGGCCAAUAAUGGAAUAGUUGGGCCUAUUGGGCCUUGUGGCCCAAUAUAGAAAUGAACUUCGCAUUAUGGGCCUCGGGUUGGGCCAAUUCUUGGACUAGGUUGUUGUGGGCCUUCGUGCGCCAAUUGGGUCGGGAUUAAUGACUAAGGAGAAUAUUGGGCUUUAGUAUAAGAUCCAUUAGAAAGGUCUGGGCCCAAUUUGGAAAAUUGGGCUAAUGAUGGAUUUAUGGACAUUAUAGUGUUCGACUUUUGGUUUGGGUUUGGGCCUUAGUUUUGAAUCAUACAGGACCGGCGGUAGAAUGGUCAUUUCACCCAAUGCAUGGAUUAAGGAUUAUGCUAUGGACCCAAUUGCUAAUUGGGUAUAUGAUUGGUAGUGACAGCUCGGGAAGCUGGCGAGGCAGCAGCUAAUGAUUUCAUGCGGGAAGCUUCUGCAGUGCGAGGUGAGUCUCCUCACCAUACCAAUGGGUCUAAGGCACCAAGGCCGGCCCAUUAUGUGUUACGAUAUAUAUGUGUUAGCCAUUCUGUGAAUUUAUAUGCUUUGUGAUUGUGCUUGCAUGAAAGACCUCAGGGGGUUCCCGGGGCACUUAGGUGUAAGACCUUGGAGGGUUUCCUUGGCAUCCUAGGUCAAAGACCUCGGGGGGUUCCCGAGGCACUUAGGUAUAAGACCUUGGAGGGUUUCCUUGGCAUCCUAGGUCGAAGACCUCGGGGGGUUCCCAAGGCAUUGGGCUAAGACCAUGUGGGGGUUCCCAUGGAACCCGGAGUAAGACCCUGGAGGGUUUCCAGGGCUUCCCUAUGUGUUGGCUUGCAUGGUUUAUGCGUUCUGUAUAGCUGAUUAGCUAGUAUGAUAUGUUAUACAUGAUUGUGUGUGGGUAUGCUCUGGGGAACUCACUAAGCUUCGUGCUUACAGUUUUGUUUAUUGUUUCAGGAAUCAUCGAUUUGGAAAAGAAGGGCUCGGAUUGAUCGCAGCGUACACACCCAUGAUUUUCGUAAUUAUAGAUUUUGGGAUGAACUCUGAUAAAUGCUUUUAAUUAACGAUGUUUUGGAAUGAUUGAAAUAAAUGAUAUAAAUGUUUGGCUAUAAUAAAAAUGAAUUUUUUUUUUUUACCUUUGAUAUUUGGGUUGUUACAAGUUGGUAUCAAAGCCUGAGUUUGAGGGAUUUGGACAUACUUUCGGGUGUGUCUGAACUCAAACUGAGGAUCUGUCAAAUUUUCAAAAGGAAAAUGUUUUAACUAAAGAAUUUCUAAGACAAGAAAGGGUGUUGUGCAUGCAAUCAGUCGAGCUCAAGUAAGUUUCCCAGGAUACUCACAGUUGUUAUCUAUUAUGAUUUGAUUUAUGAAUCUGAGAAUCGCAUGCUAGUUAGGGCUAGGGGAGAUGCUUGUAUAUGUUGUAUGAGUUGGUAGACAUGCAUGCUAGUGCUGAGAAGUCAACGAUAGAUUGGCCUGAUAUGUGAUGCUUGUAGCUUUGGAGAUACUGGAUGUCAUGCUAGAAUGAGAAUGAUUAUUUAUAUUGGUAACUAUUGUGUAUGUUUUAAAAAUUGUAUACGAUUAGGACUCGUUUCCUGUUCUGUGUACAAUUUGCAUGCAUAAAGGCAGCCGACAGCGAGGGUGAAAGUGGACAGCAUGGGUUGUGGUAUGUGGGCUGAAUGUUCUAUGAUAGCUUGUGGGUCGGAGAUUACCCUAGGGUGAGCCUAGGAUGAGAUUCGUGACAGGAGUCACCCGAUUGAGAAUUAUAUGUAUAGUUAGAAUUGUCUAAUUGAAAUAUGUUGGUUAGUUUUUCCGUUGUCCGAAUGCUGCUUGCUUUGUGCUUUGUGGGACUUUUAGCAAUGUGAGCUAGCUACUAAGUGAAUAUGCUAGGUCACAUGUGUACAGGCCGGAUAAUCUCAGAGUGAUGGAUUUGGCCCUAUUACGCAGCUCUUGUUUGAGUCCAACCGUUCUAGGGAUGAGUCUUUUACUUGAAGGAAUAUCUGAUCUCUGCUA